This is a non-coding RNA of Meleagris gallopavo (turkey), 733 nucleotides long. NCBI's taxonomy places the organism in Eukaryota, Metazoa, Chordata, Aves, Galliformes, Phasianidae. The record is from RefSeq and is a predicted model, not a curated record.
AUAGGAAAAUGACUAAGAAACUACAGUGAGAUGUCUGUCUGAGAGCUGCUUGAUUUUUGAGCAGUCUUCCUGCAUUAGAAGGAAGAAUUGGACAAGAAGAUGGUAAAUAAAAUUUGAAUCAUCAGAGGAAAUAAUUGAAAUUUUCUUUGGAUAAAGCCUGGUACAUCUUUUUCUUCAUCCACAUGUCUCUGAUCAAAUUAAAAAAUAUACUUGAUAUUAGCAGACCUGAGAUCUAUAAAUUAUGAAGAGAAUUGUGAUUAUAUUGAUGUAUUUUAGGACAGACAGUGGAAAAUUAAGCUGUGUUCUUUCUUCAAACCUUGACUUAGAUAUGGUUUGUGAAGUGACCUGCAUGUCUGUAGAAGCUUAUUUUUCUGCAAAUUUUAGUUUUAGUUCACUUUUAUUUUCUUUUUGUUUAAAACAUACAAACUAUUUCCUCUGCUCAACAAUUUCAAGACAUUAUUUUAGCAGAGGUGGUUUAGCUUAGAUGGUUCAUUUCAGUCCUCACAGGACAAUAGAAUAACCUAAACGUUAAUGUUAUGUUAUACUAUGUAUAUUAUUUAAGGAUCACAACAUAAUAUAACAAAUAGGUCCACAGAGAUCAAGGACGGAAAUUUACAGCUGCGUAAUUUCUCAUAAUGCUUAAUUUAUAAGAUGAAAAGAUAAGGUUAUGAACUAGAAGUUAUACAAAAUUGCAGUACCUGCCAAAUUAAUAAAUUACUUUAGUCAUUUUAAA